Molecule: long non-coding RNA, 569 nt
Filed under: Homo sapiens (human)
Lineage: Eukaryota; Metazoa; Chordata; Mammalia; Primates; Hominidae
Description: HSALNT0252434
Source: RNAcentral
UUUUCAUUUCUUUCAGGCUUAGUUCCUGAAGAUUUAUUAAUUUCCUUUGAUAGGAGUUGUGUUUUCCUGAUUCUUCAUGGUCCAUGUAGAUGUGUUGAUGUCUGUGCAACUGAAGGAACAAUCACCUCUUCCAGUAUUUAUAGACUGCUUUUUGCAGGUCUGCAGGCCUGCCUCUGUGAGUACAGAUGGGUUUGUCUCCAGUGUGUGGGUACACCUGCCUGUGGACUGAGCUGAUCAGGGUUGAAGCUAGGUCACAGAGAUGCUUCAGGAGUUGAAGUUGGAACUGCAGUCAGCCAGCCUGUUACCCAAGAGACAAGCAGAAUACAUUAUCUUUUGUUUUAUGCUGAAGUAGAGUGCAGCAAGCAAAAAGCAGCAAAAGACACAUAAUCAAAGUACUUGGAAUGCUGACUGUAAAAUUAUGCUGAGAACUGGCUGCAUGAUAAGAUGCUUUUCCUUCCUCUUUGUUAUUUGUAUUAUUUUGUAAAGAUAGGCCAGUGUGAGUAUGUCCAAAUAAGCUAAUAAUCUAUUUCCCUUAAAAUUUCAGCAAAUAUUCAAGAGAAUAAAAAUGU